CAUUAUUAUUUAUGAUCAGUUAUCAUAAACAACACAUACAAAUUUAACAACAUUUUGCAAUUCAUUAUUUUAUUUAAUAAAAAAUAAAAUAUUUAUGACUUAUCGACUUAAAAUCAAAAACAAAGUUAUGUUACAACUUGUCCACCUUUGGAAAACACACGUUCACUCGGAACAGAUGUACCUUGUAUGCAAAAACGCCGUUUCAUUAUUUCAAACAAAGUUCUUGAAGAUACUUAUCUAUUUCGAUAAUCAUCAACGCUUUUGGAUCCUGAGACUGAACUAUAUCAGUAACUUCCAAAUCAAAGUCGUUCCAAAUUGAAUCUUCUUUAUUACUCGCUGUCGGUGGUAUCGGAUCUUUUGGUGUCUUGAAAAGCAAAAUGAUUUUUGAAUCCAUAUUUUUUAAACCGAGGAUCCAAAAAUGUUGCCUCAGCUAACAGCAUAUCUUUUUCUAAGUGACCAAAUCUCUUAUUUGUUUCUUCAGUUAAUUUAUGUAUAAAGUUGUCUAUGCAUGGAAUUGACUGAUGUUGGGUCAUUAGUUUGUUACAAAAGUUAAUUAAAGCCUGGAAUAUCGCAAGAUUUACUUAUUAUCUGCCAAUCAUCUGAAGUUAAACUGACAUCAUAAUUAAGAUCUGCUAAGGAAGACAGUAUUGGAGUUUUCAAUUCAAAAAACCGUUGAAACAUAUGAAACGUAGAAUUCCAACGGGUGACUACGUCUUGUAUAAGUGUAUGGACUGGAGAGUAACCUAAUUGCUCCUGCAUUUGUUUCAAUUUUUCAGUGGCGAGUGUACUUUUUUUAAAGUACUCGACAAUGCUUUUAACUUUAACUC
Long non-coding RNA from Metopolophium dirhodum (rose-grain aphid), 827 nucleotides. RefSeq lists it as uncharacterized. The transcript is spliced from 5 exons. Lineage: Eukaryota; Metazoa; Arthropoda; Insecta; Hemiptera; Aphididae. The record is from RefSeq and is a predicted model, not a curated record.